Molecule: RNA transcript, 292 nt
Organism: Vigna radiata var. radiata (mung bean)
Lineage: Eukaryota; Viridiplantae; Streptophyta; Magnoliopsida; Fabales; Fabaceae
Exons: 2
Source: RefSeq, a predicted model, not a curated record
UGGUAGGAAAUUGCCUGCUAAUUAUCUGUAUGAAGUGAUGUAACGCGACUUUGGUUGAAUAAGAUGACACCAAGGACUUUAGCAGUCUUUAAGCUGCCCCCAUUGUAUAAAAGCAUACACUUAGAUUAUUGUAGUUGAUUGAUUCAUCUCUUGACAUUGUAUACCCUGGUAAAGAGUGAUUUGUGAGUGCUGAGAUAUUUUUAAGGUGCCCUUGAAGGGGUGUUGUGAUAUAAAUUCAAAACUGAACUUUGUUUAGUGAAUAUAUAUAUAUAGUACAUACCUUUUCUCAUCA